This is a long non-coding RNA of Oncorhynchus gorbuscha (pink salmon), 365 nucleotides long. RefSeq lists it as uncharacterized. The record is from RefSeq and is a predicted model, not a curated record. Lineage: Eukaryota; Metazoa; Chordata; Actinopteri; Salmoniformes; Salmonidae. The transcript has 4 exons.
AACUUCUCCUCCCUGUCUCUCCAGGUGCUCCAGUCGUGACGUCUUUUCCUCAUUUCUACCUGGGAGAUGAGAAGUACUCUAACGCCAUUGAAGGACUGGAUCCUGUCAGAGAGCAUCACCAGACCUUCCUGGACCUGAACCCGACCACUGGUGUUCCUAUCCGGGCCAGUAAGAGAGCUCAGAUCAACAUCCUCAUCAACAGAAUCGGUGGCUUUCCGAAAACCAAAUCCCUAAACGAGACCAUCUUCCCUGUCAUGUUUAUCAAUGAGACGGUAGUGAUUGACGACGUGUCGGCGGCGAAGCUCCACAAACUGUUGCUGAUGGUGAUGCUGGUGUCCAACUCCCUCUUGUCCUGGUUGGUCUGG